RNAcentral lists this small RNA (125 nucleotides) under Marmota monax (woodchuck). The record is from RNAcentral. Lineage: Eukaryota; Metazoa; Chordata; Mammalia; Rodentia; Sciuridae.
GCCGGGCACAGUGGCCCGUGCCUAUAAUCCUAAAGGCUCGGGAGGCUGAGGCAGGAGGAUUGCAAGUUCAAAGACAGCCUCAGCAAAAGCAAGGUGCUAAGCAAUUAAGUGAGACCCUGUCUCUA